GUGCCUGCUUCAGCAGCCCAUAUCCUAAAAUUGGAAUAGUACAGAGAAGAUUAUCACGGUCCUGGGUAACAAUGACAUGCAAAUUAGUGAAGCAUUCCACACUUAU
Molecule: small nuclear RNA, 106 nt
Organism: Aotus nancymaae (Ma's night monkey)
Lineage: Eukaryota; Metazoa; Chordata; Mammalia; Primates; Aotidae
Source: Ensembl